GGUCCCAUGGCUUAGUGGUCAGGGUAUUGGACUCUGAAUCUAGCAACCCGAGUUUAAAUAUCGGUGGGACCU
This 72-nucleotide transfer RNA is filed under the name Gossypium arboreum. It matches the Rfam family "tRNA". Rfam says of the family: Transfer RNA (tRNA) molecules are approximately 80 nucleotides in length. Their secondary structure includes four short double-helical elements and three loops (D, anti-codon, and T loops). Further hydrogen bonds mediate the characteristic L-shaped molecular structure. tRNAs have two regions of fundamental functional importance: the anti-codon, which is responsible for specific mRNA codon recognition, and the 3' end, to which the tRNAs corresponding amino acid is attached (by aminoacyl-tRNA synthetases). tRNAs cope with the degeneracy of the genetic code in two manners: having more than one tRNA (with a specific anti-codon) for a particular amino acid; and 'wobble' base-pairing, i.e. permitting non-standard base-pairing at the 3rd anti-codon position. The record is from Rfam by way of RNAcentral. Lineage: Eukaryota; Viridiplantae; Streptophyta; Magnoliopsida; Malvales; Malvaceae.